Molecule: ribosomal RNA, 253 nt
Filed under: uncultured prokaryote
Description: partial 16S ribosomal RNA
Rfam family: Bacterial small subunit ribosomal RNA
Source: RNAcentral
ACAGAGGUGCCAAGCGUUAGGCGGAAUCACUGGGCUUAAAGCGUGUGUAGGCGGAUCGUUAAGUGCCUUGUGAAAUCCCACGGCUUAACCGUGGAACUGCUUGGUAUACUGGGUGUCUUGAGUCUCUCAGGGGCGAGCGGAACAAAUGGUGGAGCGGUGAAAUGCGUAGAUAUCAUUUGGAACGCCAAUGGUGAAAACAGCUCGCUGGGGGUGCACUGACACUGAGACACGAAAGCCAGGGGAGCGAACGGGA